GUCAGACCUAACAAACGAGAUUCAGUUAGCACAGGUCCAUGCAAGUGUCAUGCGUUCGUACUUAAUUUUUUUAAUCAUCGUUAUCUAAUGAAAUGAAUAUGCAUCAACAAUACCAUUUGAUUGUUUGCUGCAGAAACCACAUGGAAGGAAAAUUAGAGACAAAUUCAUUGCAAAACGCAACCUAAAUGCGUCUAUGCUGGACAGAGAAAGCCACUGGACAGUUUAAUCACUCACGAGCAGUCAUAAGUUCGAGAAGAACAAUAUUACCUAUAACAAGUGAACCACAAAAUGGUUAUUUUUCUUUUGAAAAGAUGAAGAUUCUUCAGUUGCGCAAUUUGUUUCACAUGAUGAUAUGCUCUCACAUAACUUUCAUCUACCUCUGUUGAUGGAGGCAAGUGACAAAUGCAAUGCUUAUUUAGUGGGUAUAACAAGCUGUGACCGGCAUUGGUACCUCUUGAGAGAAGGCUUGUUUCCUUUUUGGUGUACUCGCACCAUGAAUGAGAAGCAUUGGGGAAUUUAUUUCUGCAAAUGAGGUAGCUCUGUUUUCGAGUCGAGCGACUAGUCGCGACUAGUCGUCGAGUCGCAAGAGCAGGAGCGCCUCGGGCUGGCGACUCGACUCCUCGCAUGAGUCGAGCGACUCGAGCGACUAGUCUCGACUAGUCACGACUAGUCGCCAUAAGUGAGUCGAACGACUCAGUUAUUUUGGGCCCCCAACAGUUUUUUGGCCCAUCAGCCCAUCCCAGCACUGGAAAUAUAUAGAUCGAUCCAUCCCCCCUCACCCUGACCUAACCCUUUCCCUGGCGGCUGCCUUCACUCCUUCCCUGUGCUCCUCCCCUUCCUCCUUUGGUUGUUGCUGCUGCUGUGCUCCUCCACUCCUCCCCUGGUUGAUGCUGCUGUUGUUGCGCUCCUCUACUCCUCCCCGGUUAAUGCUGCUGCUCUUGUGCUCCUCCACUCCUCCCCUGAUUCACAGCAAGCACCAUGUCCUCCCAGCCAGAGAUAUCCCAAGUUGUUCGAUCAGCUCAAGCUGCAGAAGAAGCUGAUGAGCACUAUGACCCAUUCAAAGAUCCUAAGAGGAGGCCAACAAAGAGCAAGGAUCCAGCAUGGAAAUAUGCAUUCUGGCCAGAUCUUAACAAGAGAUUGUUGCUGCAAUGUAAUUUGUGCGGCAAGCAAAUUACCUCUGGACCUUGUAGGAUGAAGAAACACCUUGCUGGGGGGUUUACAAUUGUGAGUAUGUGCACUAAUUAGGAUGAAGAAACACCUCUGGACCACUUCUUUGGUGGAAUGCUUAUGGUGGCCUUGCUUUUGACCUCCAAACUCUUGCAAAGCGAAUCAUUAGUCUAUGUUGUUCAGCAUCUGGCUGCGAGCGCAAUUGGAGUGUAUUUGCUCAUGUAAGUAGCAGCAGCAUCUGGCUGGUUUGAUAGGCUAAUUGCAGCAGCUUCUCA
Long non-coding RNA from Triticum aestivum (bread wheat), 1442 nucleotides. RefSeq lists it as uncharacterized. Lineage: Eukaryota; Viridiplantae; Streptophyta; Magnoliopsida; Poales; Poaceae. The record is from RefSeq and is a predicted model, not a curated record. The transcript has 3 exons.